This 460-nucleotide ribosomal RNA is filed under the name uncultured bacterium. RNAcentral describes it as "partial 16S ribosomal RNA". It matches the Rfam family "Bacterial small subunit ribosomal RNA", at positions 338 to 795 of the family's 1533-position model. The record is from RNAcentral.
CCUACGGGAGGCUGCAGUGAGGAAUAUUGGUCAAUGGACGAGAGUCUGAACCAGCCAAGUAGCGUGAAGGAUGACUGCCCUAUGGGUUGUAAACUUCUUUUAUAAAGGAAUAAAACGAGGCACGUGUGCCUUUUUGCAUGUACUUUAUGAAUAAGGAUCGGCUAACUCCGUGCCAGCAGCCGCGGUAAUACGGAGGAUCCGAGCGUUAUCCGGAUUUAUUGGGGUUAAAGGGAGCGUAGAUGGGGUGUUAAGUCAGUUGUGAAAGUUUGCGGCUCAACCGUAAAAGUGCAAUUGAUACUGGAAGUCUUGAGUACAGAUGAGGUAAGCGGAAUUCGUGGUGUAGCGGUGAAAUGCUUAGAUAUCACGAAGAACCCCGAUUGCGAAGGCAGCUUACUAAGCUGUGACUGACACUGAGGCUCGAAAGUGUGGGUAUCAAACAGGAUUAGAUACCCCAGUAGUC